UAUUAAUGAACUGCCACCAAGUGGAUUCUUGGUCUCUCCGAACAAUAAUGCUGUCUCAAGAGCUCAACAUCAGCCUCUGCUACUAGCAGACUGACAACGUCAGGAGCUAGAACAGCUGUGAUGAGAGAGUCUGUGCUGUUGGUUAAAAUCAUAGCGCCAUCCCUGCCACCAUUUCCACUCUGUUUGUGGGUCCAUGCCCACUCUAGGGACCCCAGGGAUAUAUUCUAUGAUAUACCUGACUCCACAUGCCAUCGUUAUUCAUCACGGGUACCUCUAGCAAGAUCGAGUCUAUUGAAUCUUAAACCCCAAGUGGGAUAGCAGCUUUCCUCACAGCCUGGACACUCUUGAGAGCAGUCUUAUACUGGGCCCCACUUGAAACUGACAACCAUUGAUGUCACCCAAUAAAUGAGGUGGAAGAGUAUAAUAAAAUGUCAAAUACUGUGUCUCUUUCUUAAUGGCAGGAGAUGCAAGUGCAACACUUUUCUUGCAUCUAAGAGGGGAUAGCAUAGGAUAUACCAGACUAGUAGUUUCCUAAAAAG
Molecule: long non-coding RNA, 539 nt
Filed under: Equus caballus (horse)
Lineage: Eukaryota; Metazoa; Chordata; Mammalia; Perissodactyla; Equidae
Description: lncRNA (ENSECAG00000059881.1)
Source: RNAcentral